GCUACCAUGUAAACAUGGAAAUCAUGCAACCAUCAGAAUAAAAGAACCUAUCAGAAGCACAUAUCAAAUCAUGCAACCAUCAGAAUAAAAGAUUUUUACAGUUCUAUCACCAUAGUCAUGUCAUUAAAAAGAGACAUAUCCUACAUAAACAUAUAUAUCAAGCCUAAACAAGUAGUAAACAUGUUUACACCCCAUGAGCAGCCAAGAAGCAAGAAGCAAUAGCCAGUACUACUGCCUCAAGCCCUUGAACACAAAAAGGCGAGAACUGGAUGCAGAGGUUUAUCGAUCGAUUCCCGCGUUGUCGUUGGCUGCAACAAGGACCAAAAAGAAGAAAAAAAAAGAACACCCUCUCAAAGAAAUUCGCCGCUCCUGGAUCAGCGCCACAAGGCAGGGAAGGGAUCGAUAAACCACUGCGCCCAGGCAUCACCACCAACCCCCCACCCCCACCUGCGAACAUGAUGGAUUAGCGCAAGAAACCGGAACAAAACAAGAACGGAACACAGAGCCACCUGCAAGAUCGGGCACGAACGAACACUCGUGGGUGUGAAUCUGUGUUUUCUCGUGUGUGCAAUGAGGAAGG
Molecule: non-coding RNA, 580 nt
Filed under: Oryza sativa Indica Group (long-grained rice)
Lineage: Eukaryota; Viridiplantae; Streptophyta; Magnoliopsida; Poales; Poaceae
Also listed under: 1 other name
Source: RNAcentral